AUUUUUGAGAGUUUGAUCCUGGCUCAGGAUGAACGCUGGCGGCGUGCCUAACACAUGCAAGUCGAGCGGAG
This is a ribosomal RNA of 71 nucleotides. It matches the Rfam family "Bacterial small subunit ribosomal RNA", at positions 1 to 71 of the family's 1533-position model. The record is from Rfam.